GCGAGAAGUCAGCAGAGGCCAUAGUAGUCGGAGGAGGUGCCGAAGGCGCUUGUACCCAGCCUCGCCGAUGAAGGGC
RNAcentral lists this non-coding RNA (76 nucleotides) under Longimicrobium terrae. The record is from RNAcentral. Lineage: Bacteria; Pseudomonadati; Gemmatimonadota; Longimicrobiia; Longimicrobiales; Longimicrobiaceae.